UAGGGAAUCUUCCGCAAUGGGCGAAAGCCUGACGGAGCAACGCCGCGUGAGUGAUGAAGGUCUUCGGAUCGUAAAACUCUGUUAUUAGGGAAGAACAAAUGUGUAAGUAACUAUGCACGUCUUGACGGUACCUAAUCAGAACGCCACGGCUAACUACGUGCCAGCAGCCGCGGUAAUACGUAGGUGGCAAGCGUUAUCCGGAAUUAUUGGGCGUAAAGCGCGCGUAGGCGGUUUUUUAAGUCUGAUGUGAAAGCCCACGGCUCAACCGUGGAGGGUCAUUGGAAACUGGAAAACUUGAGUGCAGAAGAGGAAAGUGGAAUUCCAUGUGUAGCGGUGAAAUGCGCAGAGAUAUGGAGGAACACCAGUGGCGAAGGCGACUUUCUGGUCUGUAACUGACGCUGAUGUGCGAAAGCGUGGGGAUCAAACAGG
RNAcentral lists this ribosomal RNA (429 nucleotides) under Actinomycetes bacterium. RNAcentral's name for it is "Actinobacteria bacterium partial 16S ribosomal RNA". It matches the Rfam family "Bacterial small subunit ribosomal RNA", at positions 355 to 776 of the family's 1533-position model. Lineage: Bacteria; Bacillati; Actinomycetota; Actinomycetes. The record is from RNAcentral.